UAAGCGAGGCUCCUGGUAGUUA
This 22-nucleotide microRNA is filed under the name Schistosoma japonicum. RNAcentral describes it as "miRNA-3063". The record is from RNAcentral. Lineage: Eukaryota; Metazoa; Platyhelminthes; Trematoda; Strigeidida; Schistosomatidae.